UUAAUGCUAAAGCACUAAAACUUAAUACUGUCUCGUUCUCUCCGUCCUCCUCUUCUGCUUCCAGCUUUUUUUCUUCUCCUUUUCUGUUUGUUUGCUUGUUAUCGGCUUUUCAUUUUCCUUUUGGGAUUUAUCUGUUUUUCUGGUGAUAUUUUGAGUUUUAGAGCUUCAAUUAUCUUCUCUGUUUCUUCGGACAUAAUCUUUAACCAACGCCUUCCUUUCGUUUUUCUUCUAUUCUUUCAGACAUGCUUUACAAUUGUCUAAUUUGUGCCAGAGAUGACAACCGGUGUCUACUGACAAAAGGAGAAGAAAACAGUCAUAUAUAAGUCUAUUUGUUUUGGUGAUUUUUUUCUGUAAUUUUCCUUUGUUUGUUAGUAGUCACAAUUUGUUGGGUAUACAUUAGUUUCCUAGCUAUUCUUUUGGUGAAGCAGUGAGACGUUGCAAACUCUUGAGCAAAAAGAGAAGCAAGAGCUAUUAUUUCACGUAUCACGAGGAAACGAAAAUGAAUUAUUUGUCAACAAUUGAUGCAGGAGCAAAUAGUGAUGAUUCUUAUGAUGAUGAUUUUGAAGAUUCUGAUUAUACCUUGGGCGAAGAUGAUAUAUUAUUCUCCAAAAAUAUUGAUCCUUCAGCUGAAUCUUUUGGGAUCAGUAUACAUGAAAAAAAAUGAUGGAAAACAAGAUUAUGUAAGUGGAGGGAUACAGAAUGAGAAGGGUGACUCAAAUUGUGUAUAUUCCGAUGAUUUGAGUUUGAAUAGUGACUGCGCACUUUGGCCAGUUUUUGCUUGUCA
Molecule: long non-coding RNA, 784 nt
Organism: Nicotiana tabacum (common tobacco)
Lineage: Eukaryota; Viridiplantae; Streptophyta; Magnoliopsida; Solanales; Solanaceae
Source: RefSeq, a predicted model, not a curated record